Molecule: long non-coding RNA, 1841 nt
Organism: Betta splendens (Siamese fighting fish)
Lineage: Eukaryota; Metazoa; Chordata; Actinopteri; Anabantiformes; Osphronemidae
Exons: 3
Source: RefSeq, a predicted model, not a curated record
CCAGUGACGUGCAUAUGGUCUGUCUGACAGCCGUCCAACCAUAGGUUCCUGCAGAGCAGUGCACAUUCUCACUCUGCACAAGCCAAGGCUCAAUGACACAACACCGGUGCAGAGCCAAACGGCCACUGGGCUUUUGUAUUGCCUUAAAUAAAUCUCACUUCGUGGAGAAAUAUCUUGCUCUCGACACUGAUGCCGCGCAGCAUCCCGGGGUUUGAGUAAAGCGACUCCAGACCCACCGGUGGCGUCCAUCUGCUCCCAGAGUUAUUCUUAUGAAUUCUGCAAUUAGAUGCGUAGUUAACUCUCGCUAUCCGUCAGUUUACGGCCGCGGCGCUGGCGAGUUCGGCGGUAAAGGCCACCAAGCUGUCAAGCGCUGGCACUAAGUCCAGAACAUUUUAUCUCUCGGCGCAAUGAGCCGUGCAGCGACGGAGCUGGAGGAUUUAUUUAAUGUCUGGUAAAGUUGCCAUGAUGCAUGUUUUCACAGUUUUUUGUUUUUUUUUUAACUUCAGUCAUUUAGUUUCUGAUUAAAGACCUGAAGGGUGAAUUGGCCUGUUGUUUGGAUCAAGUAAAACACGCUGCAGUGGAUGAACGUGUCAAGAGAAGGUGUGAAAACGGUUCAUAAGAGCCACUGGAGGUGUUUUCUGAGGGUCCGCGUGACCCCUGAGUGAUGACAUGAGGUGGAACAGCACAGGCAGCUUGGCAGACGCUCCCUGGAAACAACGCGGCCUCCUGCUCCUGAGUGGAAUCUGGAAAUUUAAUUCCAUUAGAAAUAAAUGAAUGGAACUACAGAACUAAAGAACAGGGAAUUAUUAUCUGCAAUUGGGAAUUUGAGGGGGUUUGGUCUCUUCUUCUUCUUCUCCUUCCUCCAUUAGGCCACAGAGAUGUGGCUGCCACAGCGUGUGCAGCUGUGACCAGCGCAUCCAGAGAGUUGAGGCGCUGUUUGGUAAUCCAUCACUCGAUUCACCGGCUCAAGAGGGCUGUGAAGCUACAGCAGCAGCCUCCUACGCAGCCCUCCGUCACCUCCCCCACACACGUCAGCCCUCCCAUCUGUUUGGCCAGCAAUUAAUACGAGCAAGGAAGCUGCAUUUCCACGACGGAUACAAACCAAUGGCAGGUCCAGAAAACGACGGCUACGGAUGCCCCUACUUGGCUGGUCCGGAUCGGAAGCCGAUAGCGAGGAGCGGCAGGAGACGAGAGAGAAUGAAACCGCAUCGCUGCAAGUGGACGUGGCAUUUGGGAAACAGGAGUGACGACGACGCAGAAAUGGGGGAACAAGAGAAGAGAAUCAGAGGAGGUGAGAAACACAAACUGCAAGGUACAAAAUGAGAUAAAAGGCAAGUAAAUAGUUUUUAGACUUACACACAAAAAAUAACUAUCCUUUCUAAAGCAGGGGCUCAGUGAAUCGAGUCAUGCUGUCGCCGGCCUCCUUCUCAAACAAAGCCGGGUGUGUUUAACAUCAUCCUUUUAGAUGUCUGUAUUACUGCAGCCGGUGUUUACCUCAGUGGGCUCAGAGCUAGCAUAACCCUCAACCCCACUGCAAAGAGCGAAGGAGUAACCAAACAGGGAGAACCGGCGCCGAGACAAAAGAUCAAAACAUGGAGCCAAAUUAAACCACAUGAGGAGUAUUUGGGGAGCAGACAGGGAGUAGUCUGACUCGCGCGGUACAAAAGAGGUUAGAGGGAAAUUGAUGUAGGAAGAUGUGGGACGAGGGGAAGAAAAGGCUCCACGCGGUGAUUGACAGGUGGCUGAGAAAUGAAAGUCAACCCGGUCGCUCUCAUCUGGGAACUUUUGUCGCAGCGUGCGAGGGGGAAGUGGCUGUGGCGGCGGCGGCGGCGCGCGCUACC